GUGUCAACAUUGAGGAGUGUUUUAGCCUUGAGACAUCUCUGCAGGAGAAAUGAAAGCUGCUACGGCUCUCAGGAAGUCUUCAGCCCAUGGUACAACAGCCCGAACUGAAUCUCAGCCUGUCUGAAAAAUAUGUGCCGUUUUUUUCAGUGCAUCCUUUUAUGUGUUACCAGUUUUUCGAGCAUUGUUUGGAGCGUUCACUUCGAGUUGUUGCCUUCAAGUUGUGACAUUUUUCGUCUCAAUCCCACACCCUUCGAUCGCUUUCAAAAACAGGAAACAAACACGACCCAGAAUAUUGUGGUUUUAAAUGUGUUGCAAGAAACAAUGAUGCUGCUUGAUGGAAAUAGCAGGAAUUUAGCAAGACCAAGUUAACCUGCUUAUCAACCCUCUCAGUUAACAUAGUGGAACUGGAAGCCUAGGGAGGCCUAUCAUCAGUCUCAGGGUGUGGAGACAAAGUCACCCACUACAAUGUUAUUAUUUUUACUGCAUCUGUCCUACAUACCAGAUUCAAGAGACGUUAAUGGAAAAGUCAGCAGAAUGAACGAGGAGCACGAGGAUAAGUAGCAGUGACAGGAAACUGACUCUGAACACACCAGCAAACGGAGGUAAUGCAUUGCGCAAGAAUGCAUGUGACCAGGUAAAUACUGUCAAACAUGCCAGUCGCUCGUCGCAGACUGUUACGUCACACCUCGUUUCAAGGUUGUUUUAAACAACCAUAUUAAAAAUCUGAAAGUGACAUUGAACAUUUCAUUUUACAGCACAUGGCUACAGCCGGGGGGGCUAAAUUCUCGCUGAUGAACUGCCGGCACUGCACCUUUUCUUCAGCAACAAUCUCUUUUGAAUUACUUUCUUCCCCCCCAAACCUCACCCCACCCUUCUUAAGUGACACCCAUUAAUCACAUUAGGUCUUUGGAAGAAUUGUCUGCAGAGCGUCAAGUCUUGGCUGACCCCAGCAUUUGGAGAGUGAAGAUAAAGACAUUGCACUGACAGCUCUGAAAUGGCCCCUUUUUCGCGGGUCAGCGUUCAGGGGAAUAUGAAUAUUAUUAUACAUAAAAAGAGGGGGAAAACAAUUGAGUUUUUACUUCAGAGGAAGUAAAUGACAUUGGGAAUUCUCAGUCUUUCUGCUGCUAUAGAUAGAUUGCCGGGGUAGGAUUCAAAUUAGCAAAGUUUUCAGAAAGCUCUGCGUAUUGAUUUAAUAUGUGCUUCCCAAAUAUAUGAGGGCAAAGAGCUCAUCAUUAAAGGAGUCCUCCCUAAUGUUACGGCUGUAUUACUUAGUCUCUAUUUUUUGCUAUCUGGAAACCAAACAUAUCCUGACAUAUAGGCUAAUAAAAUACUCUGGGAGUCGGUGGCGAUUGUCUUUAAUAUUGGAUUCCUUAAUUUCUGAAAGCAUUGAAUAUUAUGGCGCUCUUUGUGAGUCUACAUUCCAAUCAAAAUGUCUCUCUGAAUAAGAACUAAAAUCAUUGCCCUUAAUGUCACGAAACAUUAUCAGCUCUGUGGUUUGGUACAAUGGAGCCAUUGUGUUCAGCGGUGAGGGGAGCUUAUCAGUGAAAGACAGCAAAGGAGAAAGGGACGGAGGAAAUG
Oreochromis niloticus (Nile tilapia) is the source of this 1578-nucleotide long non-coding RNA. RefSeq lists it as uncharacterized. NCBI's taxonomy places the organism in Eukaryota, Metazoa, Chordata, Actinopteri, Cichliformes, Cichlidae. The transcript has 3 exons. The record is from RefSeq and is a predicted model, not a curated record.